Molecule: ribosomal RNA, 254 nt
Filed under: uncultured bacterium
Lineage: Bacteria
Description: partial 16S ribosomal RNA
Rfam family: Bacterial small subunit ribosomal RNA
Source: RNAcentral
UACGAGGGGAGCAAGCGUUGUUCGGAUUUACUGGGCGUAAAGGGCGCGUAGGCGGUCGUGACAAGUCACUUGUGAAAUCUCCGGGCUUAACUCGGAACGGUCAAGUGAUACUGUCGGACUAGAGUACAGAAGGGGCAACUGGAAUUCUCGGUGUAGCGGUGAAAUGCGUAGAUAUCGAGAGGAACACCUGCGGCGAAGGCGGGUUGCUGGGCUGAUACUGACGCUGAUGCGCGAAGGCCAGGGGAGCAAACGGG